RNAcentral lists this transfer RNA (76 nucleotides) under Acidocella sp. RNAcentral's name for it is "tRNA-Asn". It matches the Rfam family "tRNA". Rfam says of the family: Transfer RNA (tRNA) molecules are approximately 80 nucleotides in length. Lineage: Bacteria; Pseudomonadati; Pseudomonadota; Alphaproteobacteria; Acetobacterales; Acidocellaceae. RNAcentral also lists the same sequence under 33 other names. The record is from RNAcentral.
UCCCGAAUAGCUCAGUUGGUAGAGCAAGCGACUGUUAAUCGCUCGGUCGUAGGUUCGAGUCCUACUUCGGGAGCCA